AGUAACGCGUGGAUAAUCUGCCUUAGAGUGGGGGAUAACUAGUCGAAAGAUUAGCUAAUACCGCAUAAGACCACAAGAGCUGCGGCUCAAGGGGUCAAAGGUUUUUCGCUCUAAGAUGAGUCCGCGUAAGAUUAGCUAGUUGGUGAGGUAAUGGCUCACCAAGGCGACGAUCUUUAACUGGUCUGAGAGGAUGAUCAGUCACACUGGAACUGAGACACGGUCCAGACUCCUACGGGAGGCAGCAGUAGGGAAUAUUGCACAAUGGAGGAAACUCUGAUGCAGCGACGCCGCGUGAGUGAUGAAGGCCUUCGGGUCGUAAAGCUCUGUCGCAGGGGAAUAACACAAUGAAUGUACCCUGUAAGAAAGGAUCGGCUAACUUCGUGCCAGCAGCCGCGGUAAGACGAGGGAUCCUAGCGUUGUUCGGAAUCAUUGGGCGUAAAGCGGAUGUAGGUGGCUUUGUAAGUCAGGUGUGAAAGCCUGGGGCUCAACCCCAGAAGUGCAUUUGAUACUGCGAAGCUUGAGUGUCGGAGAGGUUACUAGAAUUGUUGGUGUAGUGGUGAAAUACGUAGAUAUCAACAGGAAUACCGGAGGCGAAGGCGGGUAACUGGCCGAACACUGACACUGAGAUCCGAAAGCGUGGGGAUCAAACAGGAUUAGAUACCCUGGUAGUCCACGCCGUAAACGAUGGAUACUUGUUGUUGGAGGUAUUGACCCCUUCAGUGACGAAGCUAACGCGUUAAGUAUCCCGCCUGGGGAGUACGGUCGCAAGAUUAAAACUCAAAGAAAUUGACGGGGGCCCGCACAAGCGGUGGAGCAUGUGGUUUAAUUCGAUGCAACGCGAAGAACCUUACCUAGGCUUGACAUGUACUGGAAGAUUGCCAGAAAUGUCGUCGCCCGCAAGGGUCGGUACACAGGUGCUGCAUGGCUGUCGUCAGCUCGUGUCGUGAGAUGUUGGGUUAAGUCCCGCAACGAGCGCAACCCCUGCAUUCAGUUGCCAGCAUUCAGUUGGGCACUCUACAUGGACUGCCGGUGUUAAACCGGAGCAAGGUGGG
This 1052-nucleotide ribosomal RNA is filed under the name Bdellovibrio sp. albina1. RNAcentral describes it as "bacterial SSU rRNA". It matches the Rfam family "Bacterial small subunit ribosomal RNA", at positions 109 to 1177 of the family's 1533-position model. The record is from RNAcentral. Lineage: Bacteria; Pseudomonadati; Bdellovibrionota; Bdellovibrionia; Bdellovibrionales; Pseudobdellovibrionaceae.